Molecule: transfer-messenger RNA, 364 nt
Filed under: Planctomycetia bacterium
Lineage: Bacteria; Pseudomonadati; Planctomycetota; Planctomycetia
Rfam family: transfer-messenger RNA
About the family: Bacterial tmRNA, also known as 10Sa RNA or SsrA, is named for its dual tRNA and mRNA-like properties.
Source: RNAcentral
GGGGGCGACCUGGAUUCGACCGGGCAGUGGAAGUGUAGGGUUGCAUGUCGUGGUUUGUCAGCAUGCCACGUAAAAAGCCGACAAAAAAACAAAUGCCAAUAAUAAUAACUUGGUAAUGGCUGCCUAAGAAAAGGCUCCCCGACUGAGAAUCCGUGACGGACGGAGUUGAAAGUCGCGUAUAAAAGUCUGUCUCGUUUCGGUUCACUGGAGGUACGUCCGAAAUUAAAAUUGGUUCCUACCUGGUUCUUCACACACCCUGUCGGUUGGGGGUGGGGAGGACGAGAUUUUUAAUAAUCGACUACACAUGUAGAAGCUCACAUGGAAAUGUCGCGGGACGCGGGUUCGAUACCCGCCGCCUCCAAUU